Triticum aestivum (bread wheat) is the source of this 2490-nucleotide long non-coding RNA. RefSeq lists it as uncharacterized. The transcript is spliced from 4 exons. The record is from RefSeq and is a predicted model, not a curated record. NCBI's taxonomy places the organism in Eukaryota, Viridiplantae, Streptophyta, Magnoliopsida, Poales, Poaceae.
CGGCGGCGAAGCUGCAACUCGGACGGCGCCAUGGCUUCCUAUGCAGAGAAAACGAGAGGGGAGGUCAGGGAGGAGCAGCAGGAGGAGUGAAGAAAAAAGGCAGCGGAGAAGGCCCUGCUCGCCGGAGAGCUCGACUGGCGCCGACGCUCGCUGUAGCGGGAGUAUGCUCGGGCGUACCGGCAUGAGAGCUGCAGUUGGUGGGAAUUGGCUGCGUGCAUAGGAACCGUGGAUUGAUCCCACGUACACACAGCACUUCUCGGCUCUACGAAAUCCAUGGCUCAAGUGCGUGUCCCGGGGUCCGAGCCUCUAUCACUUCUUCAGUUCCGGCUUGCUUCAAGAACAAAAAAUUUCUGUGUGGAAGACCACUAGCAGAACUGAAUGUUGUAUGCACCUUCAUCUUGCAGUCCAAUUACUUGGAUUAUUUGGGACAAAUUCCUUUCUUUUUAACCGUACUACAAUUAUAUAGCAGGAUAAGGAUACAUGCUUGUACUGCCUCUAUCAUAAAUUGCACAUGAGUUGAUUCCGAGUUUAGACAGCUAGCAAUCAAUCGCUCUGAAGACUAUUCUAUGCGACUAUUCUCUCAGCGGCUUGCUCGAAUCGUCCACCACCGACCGCCGCUGGCGCAAGCUGAAACUCACCCGGGGGAGCACUGGCUGGCGCGACAGUGGCGGCGAGGACCAGGUCAAGGCUUCGCAAUAAGCUCCGGAUCAAGCCAUGAAACAUGUUGACGGAUUAGUUUUCCACCUCAUGUUUACUUCACCAUGUAGUUGGGUGUAACGUGAGUUCUGCUCUUCUUCUAGGCUGUUGGGAGGAGCGACCCUGCCAUCACAUCGAGAACGAGCGGCUCUUGGUGCUCGACAAGGUGCCUGAGCAAGGCAUAUUAGUGGACGUGGCUCGACCCUGAACUUGCUUUCCCCAAAUUUGUUCAGUGAGCAGUGCUAUCAUAUUCUCCUUGCUCUUACCAUGGAUAGGUUUGGAGUUUGGGUCUUUUUAGUUCUCGCGUUUGGACCAAAAUGAUUGGGGGAGUGGAGAUUGGCAUGAAUAAUUGCAAUUGUUAACACAAGGUCAGACAAUGAAGGAUUUGUUGUCAAGAUAUCAAAAGUUGCUCAUAUCAACUGGAAAUAUAGAAGUUAUAUUCAGUCAUGCAGACAUAUAGUUUUUUUUUUGCAUAUGAAAAUAGAUUGUCAACGUAUAUUAUUUGGCUCAAUAAAUUGCGUUGUGAAUCACUUCGAAUUGUUUGUAACAACGAACAUUUUUUCAUACAACACCUUAAUAUGUAGCUUAUAAGGCUUUUAGUUUGUGAAUAAUUUGUUCAAAGAGUCACACUGUAUCAUCACACAAGGCAACGAUAUAUUAAGGUGAAGACUUUGUCAUCUAUACUUGUUGAUACUUUUUCAAUUAUGCUUACCUUACAUCCUUCUGUUAACAGUUUAGAAAUAUAGUUAUGUUCAUUGAUUUCUUAUACAGUUAUCCCACGUCAGUAUAGGUUGUGGAGGAUCGUAGAGUGUUUUCUUUAAUUGCGGAUCAGGUGUCGUUCACUUUUGCAAAGAUAGGCCAGUAAGAUAUCUAGCAUUUCCUUCAUGUGGUUGCACCAUUUUUUAAACCGUGUAAGUUUUGAGUGAAACUAUACUAUCUGUUAACACAAGGAUAAGAAAGAAUGGAAUUGAUUGUAAGCAAUUCUUCUUGAGAUGGAGACUUUCUGUGUAGUUUGCUGCAAGUGUUUAAAUCUGAAUUUCAGUUUGAGAUAUACAACCGGCAAUCUGAGGUCAAUACUGCUGCUCAGACAAUCUAGAUAUGUCAACGAAAUUUCUUUGCAAACUCGUACAAAAGCUUAAGAAUAUGCCUGCUACUUGGGGAUAUUGUGGUGUUAAAUGACCUAAAUCUCGCUUCACAUAUAUCACGAUCCGAUACGGUGUUUGAGAAAACCCGAAAUUUUUUGGAACAAAAAAGGUUGUGCUAGCAAGGAAAUUCACUUCAGCUCAAGACUUGAUAAGGCAUGUGGCAACCCUAGGAGGUGUUGUUGUGCUCACUCGCAUACCAUAUAUUCAGAGUUAAAGUUGUUUGCGUGCUUUCUAUGGUCUAAGGUAUUUUGAAUACAUCAGGUUUUUUAUGUUUGUUUGUAGCCUGAACCUUGCAGAUGGUCUCUACGCUGUAGCUAUAAUUUUAUUCUCGUGCCGACAGUGGUAACACAUGAAAGAUCCAGAAAGAUUUUGAAGCGGCGUAGAUCCAGCCGGUGCAUACUAUUGCCUUCCAAGGCCUUGAAGGAGAUCAUAUAUGUUUGGCUACUGACAUGACAAGAAUUUCAGCAAAAAUGUGACAUGAAUUUUCACCUUCUCGUCUGCUCUUUUAUCUUUUGCUAUUCUGCAUUAACACUCAGGUGUCUGCUGUUUCAGAUUUCCAAUUAUUAGGCACAUGCUUUGCAGCUUGUGUUAGUACAUAUCACCAUGCAUCCAUGCCUAAGCUACUAGCGAAAUGAAGGAAACUUUUCCA